RNAcentral lists this ribosomal RNA (862 nucleotides) under uncultured Flavobacterium sp. Its description in RNAcentral is "bacterial SSU rRNA". It matches the Rfam family "Bacterial small subunit ribosomal RNA", at positions 46 to 916 of the family's 1533-position model. The record is from RNAcentral. Lineage: Bacteria; Pseudomonadati; Bacteroidota; Flavobacteriia; Flavobacteriales; Flavobacteriaceae.
GCUUAANACAUGCAAGUCGAGGGGUAUAGUAGCAAUACUAGAGACCGGCGCACGGGUGCGUAACGCGUAUGCAAUCUACCUUUUACAGAGGGAUAGCCCAGAGAAAUUUGGAUUAAUACCUCAUAGUAUUAUAGAAUGGCAUCAUUUUAUAAUUAAAGUCACAACGGUAAAAGAUGAGCAUGCGUCCCAUUAGCUAGUUGGUAAGGUAACGGCUUACCAAGGCAACGAUGGGUAGGGGUCCUGAGAGGGAGAUCCCCCACACUGGUACUGAGACACGGACCAGACUCCUACGGGAGGCAGCAGUGAGGAAUAUUGGUCAAUGGACGCAAGUCUGAACCAGCCAUGCCGCGUGCAGGAUGACGGUCCUACGGAUUGUAAACUGCUUUUAUACAGGAAGAAACCCUGGCUCGUGAGCCAGAUUGACGGUACUGUAAGAAUAAGGAUCGGCUAGCUCCGUGCCAGCAGCCGCGGUAAUACGGAGGAUCCAAGCGUUAUCCGGAAUCAUUGGGUUUAAAGGGUCCGUAGGCGGUCUUAUAAGUCAGUGGUGAAAUCUCCCCGCUCAACGGGGAAACGGCCAUUGAUACUGUAAGACUUGAAUUAUUAGGAAGUAACUAGAAUAUGUAGUGUAGCGGUGAAAUGCUUAGAUAUUACAUGGAAUACCAAUUGCGAAGGCAGGUUACUACUAAUUGAUUGACGCUGAUGGACGAAAGCGUGGGGAGCGAACAGGAUUAGAUACCCUGGUAGUCCACGCCGUAAACGAUGGAUACUAGCUGUUGGGCGCAAGUUCAGUGGCUAAGCGAAAGUGAUAAGUAUCCCACCUGGGGAGUACGUUCGCAAGAAUGAAACUCAGAGGAAUUGACGG